Molecule: small RNA, 320 nt
Filed under: Arabidopsis thaliana (thale cress)
Lineage: Eukaryota; Viridiplantae; Streptophyta; Magnoliopsida; Brassicales; Brassicaceae
Description: ATSL089690
Source: RNAcentral
GAUUCUUUUUGCUUCUCAAAACUUUGAUGGUGAAGCCGAAGUCUGUAUGAGUCUUUGCCUUUCUAUCUUCUAACAAGGAAACACUACUUACGCUUUCAAGAUUCGCUUAAGGUUCUAGUUCUUAUACUCAAUCAUACACAUGACAUCUAGUCAUAUUUGACUCCAAAGCACUAACCAAGCUUCUUCUUGCUUUUCAAAGAUUAGAUACGGAAGCCGAAGUUUGUAUUAGUCUUUGGCUUUGUAUCUUCUGAAAAGGAAACACUACUUACGCUUUUAAGAUCCAGUUACUGUUCUAGUUCUUUUACUCAAUCAGACACAUG